Molecule: long non-coding RNA, 9624 nt
Filed under: Eucalyptus grandis
Lineage: Eukaryota; Viridiplantae; Streptophyta; Magnoliopsida; Myrtales; Myrtaceae
Description: long non-coding RNA (EGRA_LNC003354)
Source: RNAcentral
CCUCCUGCUGCCUCUUUCCCUGUGCCGACUGUUGCUGCACCUUCCCCGAAUCUUCACCCGAGCCAAAUCGCAGCCCUUCUGCUCCGACGACGCUGCUGCUGUCCCUAUUUUGUCUCCGCUUGCAGAUCUUUGCUGGUGCCGAGACUCGUUGAAGACCCAGAUCUGACGCCGCCCUCGCUCCGCGCAGUGACGCUCGCGCCCCGACCCGAUCCUCUCGCAGGACACCGCGCCCAACAGCUGGAUCCAGACGCUGGAGCUCCUCAUCGCAGCUACCCAAGGCCUUUUGCCGUCUCUGCAGCGCCCCGCCGGUUGAAGCCUGUAAUCCAAGCGCCCCGACACCGCCCCGCACCACACCGCCGUCGCGCCGCUCCCAGUGCCCUCGCCGGAACCCUAGCCGGCGAUCUCCCAUUGCCGGACCGGCCACUAGCUUUAUUUUUCUUUUUCUUUUUCAGAAAAAAAAAAAGAAAAGAAAAAAGAGAAAAGCAAAACAAAAUUUAGGUAUUUUAUUUAUCUUAUUUUUUUAUAUAUUAUUUUUGUUGUUUUAUUUUAUCUUUUUAGUGUAAUUAUUCCUUUAAUGUGAAAUUGAAAUUCCAUGAUAUGAAAUUGCCUUGAAAUUAGUGAUUGUUAGUCCGAUUUUCGCGCCCGAAAUCCGACUCGCAAUUACUUAAAAAACUGGCCAAUCCGAUCUCCCGCUCGAGAUCCGAUUCGUGAUUUAUGUGAAAUUGGCCAACCCGAUCUCAUGCACGAGAUAUGGUUCGUCAAUUUGGGUAUCAAUAUGGCUUGAUUUGUUGUGGUGUUACUUAAAUUAGUUUUCUUUAAAAACAAAUGUAGUUUUAGGGUUUGCAUGUUUAUAAUAGGUAUUUUAUUUCGAAUUUUCAAAAAAAUAAAUCAAAUCAAUUAAUUUAGGUUGCUAGUUUUUUUUUUAAAACUUGGAUUGCAUGUUUAAUUAUUUGGCAAUUAUUAAUUUCGAAAUUAAAAAAAAAAGGAAAAAGGAAAAACACAAAAAAAAGUCAUUAUGCAUAUGUCAUGUAGAAUUAGGGUAUCUUUUGCCCGUCAUUGCAUAUUAGGGUUAAAAUGCACUUAGUUUAAUUUUAGAUAAUAUUUUUCUUAAUUUAUUGUAAUUUUAUGCAUUUACUUAAAUAGAUUGCAUUUUAGGAUUAUUUGGGUUAAGAUAAUAUUUUAUUUUAAAUUAGGAUUUAGCUCAACCUAAUUCCUAACACAAAUUGAAUAGGAUCUUAAUCUAAUUAGAUAAUUUUCACAUUUUUCUAAUUUCAAAUUUCAUAAAAAAAAUACAAAAAAAUGUCAUAGGUCAAAUUAGUUUUAUUAUUUAGGAUAAAAUGCAUUCUUUUAGGAAAAAGAAAAAAUGUCAUAUGCACGUCAUUAGGGUUAGAUUCAUUGAGAUGCAUGUCAUUUAGUAUUUUUGCUAGGCCCAUUUAAUUAGAAAUUACAUGUCAUUAGAAUUAGGUCAUUUAGUUAAUAUUGCAUUGCAUAUUGCACGAUUGUCAUUAAUUAAGUGAAAAAAAAAAGAAAUUGCGUGUUAAUUAGAAACCAUAUCUAGGGUUGUUGAUAUAGAUUUUAAUUUAACAUUGCAGAUGCUUUCGUUGCUUUGAGGUAAGUUUUUGCAAUUUAUUUAUCGUUUAUCUGGGUGUUAAAUUGGUGGAUUGCGUAUCCGCAUGAUCACCUCACAUGUUAAGGAAUAUAUUUAAAAUCAAUUCAAGUUGCCCGCAAAAACAUUUUUGAAAAUAAAAGAAUGGUACCGAAAGGGCAUUAGAGAAAUCUAGCGUAACCAAGUCCCCGUACCCAAAUCUCUGGUUCGUAGGAGUAAAGUAAAUCUCCCAUUACUUUACUUGGGUUCCUAAUUGACCCACCAAAAAUAGAUUAGUGGCGACUCCUAAUUGAAAAUCAAUUACAUGUUAAGAACUUGAACCUAAGUCGCGAAUUGGUAUGGGCUUGGGAGAGCUCGAGUUAAGUCUAGGCUUAACAAUCCAUUAGCCAAACCCUAGGAUGAUACACACCCCGAAAAAUUGGUCGCGACAGCUUGGCGACUCCGCUGGGGACUUGAGUUGAAACUCUUAGUGGACUUAGGCCAAUUUUUCUUUUUUUUUGAAAAUGUUUUUGUUUGGCAACGAUGAUUCUAGGUACGUCCCUAACAUUUAAGGUGUUAGAUGUUUUUGCAGGAUAGGAGGUAUAAGGGGAAGUGUUUGCUAACCUUUGUUUUGCAGGGAGGUGUAUGAAUUUAUGGUUUAUUUUCAUGAAUGAAGUGUUGCUUGAUAUAAAUUGCCGUGCAUGCCUUGAAUCUAGCACUACACUAUUGCACACACAACCUGUCGCCGGACCUGGGCCGCAUAGGAUCAUUUAGGAUGGUGUUGAGAUGGAUACCACUCCGACCGCAUGCUCGCGAUACGAGUCGCCCAUCUUAAUCCCGAAGUUUCUUUCAUGGUGUCAAGAGUACCCACCUCGGUCCACAUGCCCGCGACCCGGGUCGGCUCUUUGACCAAGCCAGAGUCAUGAGGACCCGACAUAGUCCACAAGCCCGUGGCUAGUCUGAUCAUCCUUAUGGCUCCACCUUGACAAGCCUUAUAGAUUAGAAAUCGAGCCACUUACCAUGCGCAUGUCUAUGUGAUUGCCAUUGAUUCUCAUUGGUGAAGUAAGUCUUCUACCCUUAUACUAUGUAAUUUACUUACUUUGUCGUACUUUUGGUCCGUCCAUGACAAUUUAGGUUAGUCGUUCGAUCUAAUUCAUUUGUCAAUUAGAAAUGAAAUGAGGAAAUUGACAUGCAAUAAAUCAUUUUAAAAAAAACUUUGGAGAAUUCGUUUUCGAUUCAUGUUUAGGAAAUUUGAUCUUUCUAGUUAGUCAAUUUUUCGAGCCCUCUUUAGGAAAUUCCCUCCUUGUACGAACUUUUCAUAAAAAAAAAUGAAAAAUUGAUUAGGUCAUUGUCAUGGAUUGUUUCUCUAUUUACACCGUGUGCUUACAUAUUUUCAUUCAUUUUCCUUAGGUGAUAACGGAUCGUCCACGCUCUCCCAUUAUCACGCGAUUAAGAGCUAGAAUGGCCGACCAAAGCGAGAUGCGCGAUCGCAUGUCCUCCGUGGAAUAUCAACUCAAACAGUUAGUUGCUUCCAUGCAGCUUAUAACAGCUCAGCUUCAAUCCCUCCAAGUGAACCCGAGUCCUCCACCUGCUCUCCCUGAGAUUGUAGUCCCAAAGCAGAUGAACAAGACUCAAAUUGAUGAUGACGACAUGCCUGAACUGGAGGAUGACCCACUGUUUGUCACUACCGAAAAGGUUAAGCCCAACAAUGUCCCUAAGGCGGAGCAAGAUGAACGCUUCGCCAAACUUGAAGAGAAACUAAAACAAUUGCAAGAGUCGCGAAGUUCACCCCCAUUUGACUUGUCAGUUUACGAGAAAGUCAAGAUGCCGAAAAAGUUUAAGAUGCCGGAGUUCGAGAAAUACGACGGUACUUCCUGCUCAAAGGCUCAUUUGCAGAUAUACCACAUACGCAUGGCCCAGUAUGUCAAGAAUGAGCCUCUCAUGAUCCAAUCAUUUCAUGCAAGUUUGACUAGGCCCGCUCUGAAUUGGUGUGUGAUGAAGAAUGUGAACCUCCUUGACACCUGGAACAAAGUGGCUGACGCGUUCCUCAAACAGUACAAGUUCAAUAUGGACAUCGCACCUUCCCGAGAGGAUCUUGAGAGAAUGGAGAAGAAGAUGGGCGAAUCAUUCAAGGAGUAUGCCAUGAGAUGGCGAAAUAUGGCAGCUCAAAUCACUCCUGAGCCUACUGACAAGGAAUUGAUGAAGUUGUUCAUCAAGACUCUUCCAUCUUAGUUCCGUAACCGGAUGGCUAGCACAUAUGUCGAAAACUUCAACCAACUUGUUCUCGUGGGAGAACAAAUUGAGAUGGGGAUAAGAGAAGGGUGGUUUAUUGAGCCAUCUAAUAGAAGGUUUUCUACCAAGAGGGAGAAGGACCUUGAAGUUGAGAUUAAUAUGACAUAUUCUCAACCGAAUCGUGGUCUCACUCCAGUAAUUAAGAUUUCUACUGAGCAACAAGGUGAAGAACAUCAACUCCCUAAUCGACGACGUAAUGUCAGAAGACAGUUCACACCUCUUCCUGGGCCCCUAUCCAAAGUUUUGCCUAUCCUCCAAAAGAAGGGAUUACUUUCUUCGAAGACAAAGCGACCAAAUCUUGAGCAUUAUCCUUCAUAUAAUCCCUUCGAAAAGUGUGACUAUCACACGGGAGAGGUUGGUCACUCCACUGAUGAUCGCUAUGUUUUGAAGCAUAAGGUCCAAGAUCUCUUGGAUACAAAGGCAUUUUCUUUCAACAGUAAUCAAAAAAAUCCUUUGCCCAACCAUGAUGAAGGCGCAAAUGCUAUCACUGAGUGAAGAAGUUCUUCUCUUUUAGGAUUUCAAGUUUUGUUUAGGAUUCUCUACUUUUUGAAAUUUCAAUUAUCGCUUUUGCUUUUAGGGUUUGGCUUGUUUGCAUUUUCCAUUCCAAUAAUGUAAUUCAUUUGAUUCUAUUCAAUGAAAUCGAAGAUCGGAUUUUCAUCAUCAAUUGAUCAAUUUGUGGGACAUCCAUUGCUAAGACAAUCCCUUCAUGGGACAAUUCCUUGAAUGAAUGCUUGAAACCAUGUUUUGAGUACAAUAAAUUGUUUGUUUUGAAGUCACAAACGCUUUUUAUGCUUAAAGUUGCUGGACUCUUUUGAAAAGAAAAUUUUCAUAUUGAUUUAGCUCACUAAUUUCACGUGGAGAUUUGUCAAGAUAGACAAUUUAAUGGAGUGACAUCAAUGCUUAAGAAUGCUGAAUGAGAUGUGUCAGUAUGAUGAAAGGCAAGCCUUAUCUUAUACACAAUCUCCUACUUAUACACUUGUGAGAUGAGUGUAGGAAGUUCCAUAUCUACAAGGUAAAGAGUUCUCUCGCAAAAGGUACGAUGACUGAAAUAAUGAGGGGCAGUUCAUUUCUCUAUCACAAACACUACAGGUGAUACAUUGCUUAACCCUUUUUUAGCCCCAUACACUUGUGGAUAUUUUUUUUCAAAUUAUCCCUGUCAAGAACCACCCCACAUUGGGGCAAGUUGGAGGUAAGACAGCAUCAUGAGGUGAGGAAAAUGAAAAGAAAUUUCUUGUUCUCACUUACAUUAAAUCUUCAAGUCGUGCUAUUACAUUGAAUUCAUGUGGUAAUUUAAGUGCCCUAGGAUAAUGAAGAGCAUUUCUUUCUCUAUCCUAUACACUUAUAUCCUUUGUAUAGCCCACUUGAGCCUGCAAUUUCAUUUCUUUAAACCCGAUUGGUGAUCAUCCCCCACACUUAGGCAAGGCAAAAGGCAGUGAAGACUCUUGAAAAAUUCAAGUGUCAUUCAAAGUGUAAUUGCUUGACACAUGUAUUAUGCGCAAGAAUUGAAUUUAAAAUAGAACUAAGGCGCAUGAAAAAACAGUGUGCCUCAUAAAAGCAAGACCAAUGCCCAUGAAAAGAAGUGAAGAAAAAGUGAACGCAAACUAGGGGCAUGAAAAAGCGGUGUGCCUGGUAAAAGCAAUGCCAAUGCCCAUAGAUGAAAAAAGAAAGUCAAUAUAGGUGACUAUCAAUUGCAAGAAUUGAAUCCCGAUGGAGCACUACUCAAAUAAUUCAAAUGCUGAGUUUUUACAAUCAAUGAGGCACUUCAUGAAGACAAUCCCCGAUGGUAAAAGAACUGGUGGCAAUGCCAAGAUGAUCAUCAACUCUCAUCUUUUGCACACAUUUUGAGCCUAAUGAUCCUUUCAUUUCUCAACUCAUGAACCCAACUUACGUUACGUCCCUUACAAAGUCAAUUCAGAUUAGGGCAUUUGAAUUAACGUAGGAGUUCAUAUGUUUAUAAGCAUCGCUCGAAGAAGUGUGAGCAAGAUUUUUUUCUUUUUCAUUUUGCAGGGUUCUUGACUUGUAAACCCAGAGAUGAUUACAAGACUGUUCAUUCAAUAGCCUUGACUCAAAGAGUCCCUUUGUUAAGCCGUUGACUAAGCCCACACUACGGUCCCUAUCAAAGACCUCUCAGAUUGGUAAGGUUGUACUGCUUGCGAGAAUACUUGGACCUUUGUCGAUAUGAUUGUUAGGGAAAUCCCUUAUGAUGUUUUGAAGAUGACAAAAUAAAUCAAAGGCUACUAACAUGUUUAAUGGUUGAGUAAUAGACCAUGCAGAUAAUAGAACAUGUAAAGGAUAUUAUCAAAGUCUGAAGACUGUCAGACUCAAGACUCAAAGUCUGAAGACAGACUCUAUGCUGAAGCUGAACUGGGUACAGACCCAGAUUGUAAAGUCUAAAGACCCAGAUUGUAAAGUCUCAAGACUCAUAUCGUAAAGUCUCAAGACUCAGACUUUACAUCCAGAUUCAAUGAAUCGUAACUCAAGCCCAAUCAUACAACGGCUAGUGAUCUGGUUUGGAUUCCACAUCAAGAUUGAUUUGAUUAAUUCAAUCUAAUUGAUUGACAAUUGGAUGUUGAAGACAAGAACUUUCUAUACGAAGAAGCUUUACUUAUGGAAACCAAGAUUUCGUUUGUAUGGGCGAUCGGAAUCAAUUUGGGAUUCUACCUUUGUCACUCAACGGCUACCAAAUCUUCUAAGAUACAGAGCUGUCCAAUGGGUAUAUUGGAAGACGAUUCUCCGGGAUGCUGUCCAACGGUAGUUUGGAAGUGGAGGAGUAUUUAAGGAGAUCAUGGACCGAUGAGCAAGUAAGAGACGGAGCGUAGAAUUUAUAAUUCCAAAGUCUAAGCGACUUUAGAUCAUAUACUUGUCUCUUGAGAGCUUAAACGUUUGUAAUCGUGAGAGAAAUACCAAGAGAGUGACUUAGUGAGAUAGUGUGAUCUACUAAGUGUUUGCACUCGGAGUUGUAAUCUCUUGUUGAUUGCAUAGUGGAAUCCAGCCAAGAAGGCUGUUAUCGUGGGAGAGUGGACGUAGGCUUGGAUUAAGCCGAACCACUAUAAAUCUCGUGUUCUUAUUCUCUUUCCUAACUCCUUUAUUUUGUUCAUACUAGCACUCUCAAUGAUGAUAGUGAGACGGAGUGAUUCUUAUAAAAUAGCCUCUAAAUGAGAAUGAGUGAAAGUCCUUUCUAACUGAAGGUCCCUCAUUUGGUAUUCUUAAGAAAUCCGUGUCAUGAGUGAAGAUUGUUUUGAAUGAUAAUUCUCUCCAGUGGAAAUUUGGGUGAUGUAAAGGUCAUUAUGUAUGAACCCCGAUUGAGUUGAUGAAAACCUCACUAAAUUUUGAAAUGUGCAUUCUAGGGUAGCUCAACUUGUCUAUCUCUUUGAUGAAUGCAUAUCGGUUUUUGCUCUAAAUCAUGUUUGACAGGUAAUUCAAGUUCUUUUCAGAAUGUUUCAUGAUAUUAGGAGAUGAGAAACCUCCACCAUGAGGUGAAAGACCUCCACAGGAUAUCUAAAUUUCAAAAGACAUAUCCUCAAGAAUUAGAGAUAUCAUCAAGUAAGUAUAUCUCUACCAUAUUCUAAAAUACUUGUCAUUGUGCAGAUAUUCUCUCUCAAGUGCAUCAACACUUGACUUGGUCAAGCUGUCCAAUUAUAUCGACCUGGUGUGCUUUCGUAGCCCAGAGUCCUUCUCAUCGACCCGACGUGCUUCAGUAGCCUGGUGUCCUUUAUAUUGACCCGGCGUGCUUUCGUAGCCCAGUGUCCAUUUUCAUUAACUCGGCGUGCUUCCGUAGCCCGAUGUCCCUUUUAAUAGACCCAGUGUGCUUUUGUAGCCCGGAGUUCCUGACCUGGCGUGCUUUUGUAGCCCAGAGUCCCUAUUUAUUGACCCGGCGUGCUUUUCGUAGCCCGGUGUUCAUUUAUAUUGACCUGGCGUGCUUUCGUAGCCCAGGUUCCCUUUUAUCGAAGGAUUUCUUUUAUCGACCUGGCGUGCUUUCAUAGCCCAGAGUCCAUUUUAAUCGACACUCAAUUGAGCUGUCCCCUAAAGAUUUUUUCUCCAGAUUCAGUCUGAUUAAGGCGACCGAAGAACGGUUCGGGUCUUGGUAAGAUGAUCUGUGUUGCAACGCUGGGUGACCGAAGAAUGGUUCGGGUCCUAGCCAAGCAAAGUCCCCGUUUAGGCGACCGUAGAAUGGUACGGGUCAUGGAAAAAUAAUUUUCUUCGUCGAGACGACCGUAGAAUGGUACGGGUCCUGGAAAAUGAAUCCCCGUUUAGGCGACCGUAGAAUGGUACGGGUCCUAGACAAAACCUUUCUGUUGUACUAGGCGACCGUAGAAUGGUACGAGUCCUGAGAAAGCAUUUCCUUACAAAGCCUUUUUGCCAUACUGGGCGACCGUAGAAUGGUACGGAUCCUGGGAAAGCAGUUCCUUACAAAACCUUUCUGUCGUAUUGGGCGACCGUAGAAUGGUACGGGUCCUAAGAAAGCAGCUCCUUUCUGCCAUACUGGGCGACCGUAGAAUGGUACGGGUCCUGGGAAAGCAGCAUCUUCACAAAGUCAUGUUACUAUUCUAGACGACUGUAGAAUGGUACGAGUCCUGGACAAGUAACACCCACUACCUCGAAUUACUCUAUCAUCCUCGAAGGUAAGUUAUUCCAGGUAGGUUCAUCUAUCAUUUGCAUUAGUAUUUCCAUGCAUCAUAUAAAUUGCAUUAAAAAAUGGAAUUCAUUUUCCAACAAAAAAUCAUUUAUUGCAUGAGCAUAACUAAAAUUUAGGUCUCAAUUUGUCUUUGAAGGCAACAUGUUGACACCUAAAUUUUUGGGGUUAAUUUUUUGCUAAAAAAAAAAUCAUAACCACAUGGCAUAUAGUUUAGGCAAAUUUUAUAUUUGGUUAAGAUUUUUUUAUAGAUUUAGAAAUGCAUUUUUUGCGCAAAGGGGGAAUUUUUUUGAUCGAAUAUGCAAAAAAUAUUGCGCAGGGUGAAAUGAUAUAUUCAAUGGAAUUUUACACGAGCAAAAUUGGCAUUGAAAUAUACCACGAAGAUACAUUUUUUUGGUGUAUAAAAGAGUUGCGUACGGUGGGGAAAAUGGGGGCCAUUCCGUUGGUGAAAAAAAAAAGGUGAAAAAGUGAGUGGAGAGAGAGAAAAUGUUUCAAGGCCGCGUUAUUAAAUCACCCGAUGGUGNNNNNNNNNNNNNNNNNNNNNNNNNNNNNNNNNNNNNNNNNNNNNNNNNNNNNNNNNNNNNNNNNNNNNNNNNNNNNNNNNNNNNNNNNNNNNNNNNNNNGCCGUCGCAGCCAACCAGUCUUCGCCCGCGAGCCCCCGACGACCCGCGUCGCCCCGACACGGAGCAACGCUGUGUGUCACCCAUUCCCGAUCCGUUCGUGGAGCCACCGCCACGACAGAUCCGUGGUCCAGACAUCGGGAUCUCUCCGCCUGCAGGUCUGAAGCUCCGGUGUUCCUGUCCCGACACUGCCGUGCCACCCCGAUCGUCGUUCAACGAAACCCGUCCCACCGGCCCACAAGCCUCCUGCUGCCUCUUUCCUUGUGCCGACUGUUGCUGCACCUUCCCCGAAUCUUGACCCGAGCCAGAUCGCGGCCCUUCUGCUCCGACGACGCUGCUGUUGUCCCUGUUUUGUCUCCACUUGCAGAUCUUCGCCAGUGCCGAGCCUCGUUGAAGACCUAGAUCUGACGCCGCCCUCGCUCCGCGCCGCGAUGCUCGCGCCCUGACCCGAUCCUCUCGCCGGACACCGCGCCCAACAGCCCGAUCUAGACGCC